RNAcentral lists this ribosomal RNA (459 nucleotides) under uncultured bacterium. RNAcentral's name for it is "bacterial SSU rRNA". It matches the Rfam family "Bacterial small subunit ribosomal RNA", at positions 339 to 791 of the family's 1533-position model. The record is from RNAcentral.
GUACGGGAGGCAGCAGUAGGGAAUUUUCGGCAAUGGGCGCAAGCCUGACCGAGCAACGCCGCGUGAGUGAAGAAGGCCUUCGGGCUGUAAAGCUCUGUUGUAAGGGAAGAAUGGCCAAGAGAGGGAAUGCUCUUGGAGUGACGGUACCUUACCAGAAAGCCACGGCUAACUACGUGCCAGCAGCCGCGGUAAUACGUAGGUGGCAAGCGUUAUCCGGAAUUAUUGGGCGUAAAGGGAGCGUAGGCGGUUUGAUAAGUCUGAGGUGAGAGUUCGGGGCUCAACUCCGGAUUGCCUUAGAAACUGUCAGACUAGAGUGCAGGAGAGGGCAAUGGAAUUCCAUGUGUAGCGGUAAAAUGCGUAGAUAUAUGGAGGAACACCAGUGGCGAAGGCGGUUGCCUGGCCUGUAACUGACGCUGAGGCUCGAAAGCGUGGGGAGCAAAUAGGAUUAGAUACCCCGGU